GACGAACGCUGGCGGCGUGCUUAACACAUGCAAGUCGAGCGGUAAGGCCCUUUCGGGGGUACACGAGCGGCGAACGGGUGAGUAACACGUGGGUGACCUGCCCUCAGCUCUGGGAUAAGCCUGGGAAACUGGGUCUAAUACUGGAUAUGACUCCACGGUGCAUGUCGUGGGGUGGAAAGCCUUGUGCGGCUGAGGAUGGGCCCGCGGCCUAUCAGCUUGUUGGUGGGGGAUGGCCUACCAAGGCGACGACGGGUAGCCGGCCUGAGAGGGCGACCGGCCACACUGGGACUGAGACACGGCCCAGACUCCUACGGGAGGCAGCAGUGGGGAAUCUUGCGCAAUGGGCGAAGGCCUGACGCAGCGACGCCGCGUGAGGGAUGACGGCCUGGUGU
RNAcentral lists this ribosomal RNA (392 nucleotides) under uncultured bacterium. RNAcentral describes it as "bacterial SSU rRNA". It matches the Rfam family "Bacterial small subunit ribosomal RNA", at positions 28 to 422 of the family's 1533-position model. The record is from RNAcentral.